RNAcentral lists this ribosomal RNA (271 nucleotides) under uncultured prokaryote. Its description in RNAcentral is "partial 16S ribosomal RNA". It matches the Rfam family "Bacterial small subunit ribosomal RNA", at positions 524 to 794 of the family's 1533-position model. The record is from RNAcentral.
UACGUAGGUGGCAAGCGUUGUCCGGAUUUACUGGGCGUAAAGGGAGCGUAGGCGGACUCUUAAGUGGGAUGUGAAAUACUCGGGCUCAACCUGAGUGCUGCAUUCCAAACUGGGAGUCUAGAGUGCAGGAGGGGAAAGUGGAAUUCCUAGUGUAGCGGUGAAAUGCGUAGAGAUUAGGAAGAACACCAGUGGCGAAGGCGACUUUCUGGACUGUAACUGACGCUGAGGCUCGAAAGCGUGGGGAGCAAACAGGAUUAGAUACCCGUGUAGU